Elaeis guineensis (African oil palm) is the source of this 1873-nucleotide non-coding RNA. The record is from RefSeq and is a predicted model, not a curated record. NCBI's taxonomy places the organism in Eukaryota, Viridiplantae, Streptophyta, Magnoliopsida, Arecales, Arecaceae.
CGCAGCCCAUCAAAGCGCCACUGAGCCACUGGCCUUCCGUUCCCCUUCUUCCAUCUCCGGAGAAGGACAGGAAUAAUUGGGAAGAGAAAAAGAGAUAGAUGUGGGUUUGCUUUUUCUCCAAUAUCGCUUCCGCUGACGCUGGGCAUGGUGGUGGUAAUCCUGCGGUUCGUCUUGGGGCCGGACGAUCGGACGCUCCUGGUUCUUCUCCCUCUCCAUCAUCAUCCUCGUCCCCGCCGACAUCCCGACCGUUAGAUCUCUGUUCCCACUUCCUAUUCUUAUCCCUUGCUCUUUUUGCCCCCUUCUUUCUUAUUAAAUAAAUCUUGUGCUGAAUUUCUUCUUCGAGCAUAAAGGUUUCCAUCAAUCCCACCUCUUUUAGUUCUAGCAGUAUUUUAAUGUUUUAUUGGUAAGGUUAAUUCAUUUUGGUCGAUGAGCAAGAAUUAUUUGGAAUUUUUAUCUAAUUGAGCUCUUGUGUAGUAAUUUCUUUUCGGUUUUUUCCCCUCUUGUUUAGAUUUCGUAUGGAAGGGAAUACUUGUUGAAGGUCGAAUAUAGAUUAUACCUGUGUGGCUGUAUCUUAUUCUGGCAAAGAUUGUUGCAUCUGCUCCUUUGAUGUACGUGUGUAUUUGCACAUAUUGUUCCUGGUUGAAGAUCGGGAUGUCGAUGUUCUAUUCAUUAACUCCAAGAUAAAGAAGGUCUGUUGAACGUGGAGGAAAGGAGGAAAAGAGAGAUUAUUUUUUUUAUUAUAUUCAAAUGGGGUAGAGUAGUCCCCAUUAUAUACAAUAUUUAGUCUUUUUACAAGGAAACAGGACAACCCAUUGCCACCUUGAUUUUUCCUAAUUAAAGAAUCUAAUUAGGGAAUAUAUUAUAAUCCAGAGUCACCAGUAUCCCUAAUUAGAAUAUCUAAUUAGGGUAAUACAGCUCAUUUUCCAACAAGGUCAGUCAUCUUGCUUAUGAUAUUGUCAUAAGUUUUUAUGCAUGUUCUUUUCCUGUUUGAUUAUGUCAGAUGAUCUUAGACUAACUGUUGCAUGUUGAUCUUAUAGUCCUGCAAGAAUGGUUGCAUGUUAUGCACCAGCUCUUUCUUAUAGUUUUCUUAACCUCAUUCAUCUUGAAGGUGAUGCCAAAGAAAUUUUUGAAGAGAAUAAGGGCAUGUGGAGAUGAAAAGAAGUCCACCAAAAGCUCCAGAAGAGGAGAACCAGAAAUAUGGUAGCAGCAGAGAAACCAUUGCCAAAAAGUAUGCAAUUAUCAGGGAACAGCAAGGCAGGAGGUGCUCAUCCUCCAAAAUAUCAAAACAGAAUGACGUUUCACCAGCUUCAUUCUCUUUGCUUGAUGCAAAUAUCUCAGAAGAUCAUUCAACUGGCAGCAUGGCUGCCUUCUGGAUUUCAAAAUGAAGACUGGAUUUCAAAAUUUGAGAGCGGACGUACAGGCAAGGAAAUUUCUUCUUCCCUCAAUGAAGUUUUUCAGUGGCUGAAGCAGGAGCAUCAAGUAGGGGCUUGUGGUGGUGGUGAUGAUGAUAUGAAUUUAGUAACUGCAUUCAGAUAGUAUUGGGCUGCUUAUAAUAGGAAGCAAAAUUUAAAUCUGGUUUUACCAUAUCAGCAUUUUGUUUCAUGAAACCAAAACGGAAGUUGUACAGAAUUACAGAGUACUCAGAAAAGCUAACAAUUCCUCAUUUUUUCCGCCAAGGAAAUUUGGGUAGCAUAGGAGAUUGAUGAUACCAAUACCCAUAUUGUUGUAUUUUUUAUAGGGGCUGAGCACAUAACUCCGACAGCAGUGAAUAUACCUUUGUUCAUUUGGUUUCAUCUCGCUUACAAGGAAUCAGAGAAUUCACGGAAUGUUGUGUGGUUUGACAAAAGAAUCAAUAAAACUUUUCUUCAUGAAA